This is an RNA transcript of Magnolia sinica, 3166 nucleotides long. It is a transcript of the gene named RNA-binding KH domain-containing protein RCF3-like, with no coding region annotated. NCBI's taxonomy places the organism in Eukaryota, Viridiplantae, Streptophyta, Magnoliopsida, Magnoliales, Magnoliaceae. The transcript has 11 exons. The record is from RefSeq and is a predicted model, not a curated record.
AAGUGCAUCUGCACGAACAAUAAUACUCCACUAGAGUACAAAUGUUUUUUUGGGUACCAAACCCGACGGUCUCGUUUCAAGCCAGCCUUCGUUGCGGUCUCUCUUUCUAGGGUUUCCGCUCAUGAAAUCCGUUUCCUUCCGCAGAGGCAAACUUUAUAGGGUAAUUAUAAUCUUCUUAUAGACAUGUCUUUUCCUAUAACACCUUCUAAGAGACCCUUUGAUCGAAACCCUCUGGAGCCGAAUGGAAGGGCAAAGUGGCAAAAGACUGCAGCUUUUCAUUCAAAGAAUCAGCCACUGAAAAUAUCCCCUGGUUCUACCGUAUUCCGUGUGCUUUGUCCUGCUUCCAAAUCUGGAAAUGUUAUCGGUAAAGGUGGGAGCGUUGUAAUGCAGAUACGCCAGGAAACUGGUGCAAAGGUCAAAGUCGAGGAAACCAUCCCUGGUUGUGAUGAAAGAGUCAUUAUGAUUACUGGUUCUGAUAAAGAUGCAGAAAUGAGCAAUGAUCAGAACAAGGAUGAUGAUGAAAACAAUACUGCUGAUGAUGACGGCGAUGAUAACAAGGAAACUGAUGAGAACAAUGAAGAUAAGGAAUCGCCCCCCUUAGAGGUUUUACAAUCUGGAAAGGUCACUUCAUCUUCAGCACAGAGGGCUUUGUUACUUGUUUUUGAGAGGAUAGUCGAAGGAGAUUCUGACACCGAUGGAGGAGAGGAAGCAGCCAAGAAGCCUUCUUCUUCAGUUUUCGUGAGGUUGCUUGUGCUUUCAACCCAAGUUGGUUGCCUUCUGGGUAAGGGUGGCAGUGUAAUCAAGCAAAUGGCGGCGGAAAGUGGGGCCCAGAUCCGGAUCCUUCCUAGGGACAAACUUCCUUCUUGUGCUUCACCAUCUGAUGAACUGGUCCAGAUCACAGGAGAGUUAGAUGCAGUUAGGAAAGCUCUUCAAUCAGUUUCUCAACAACUUCUGGAGAAUCCACCUCGUGAUCGUGAUUCAUUUCCUGCAAGCAAGCCCACUGGGCCAUCAUCUCAUCGUUUUGUUCCUCUUCCUCAGGCAGAACUUUACCCACCUGCAAAUUAUCAUUUCCCUGUUCAACCGACACCAUAUUCUGCUGGGCCCCACCUUGUUCCUGAUUAUCAUCCACGUGUUGCCUUAUCUACUCCUAAAUUUCAUGAAAAUGUUCUCUCUGGCCAGAUGAAUGCUGUGGAAGAAAUACUCACAUUCCGGUUAUUGUGCAUGAAUGAGAAGAUCGGGGGUGUGAUAGGAAAAGGAGGGAGCAUAAUUAAAACACUUCAACAGGAAACGGGUUCUGAUAUCAAAAUUCUUGAUGCUGUCCCUGAGUCAGAUGAUCGCAUCAUAGUCAUAUCUGCUCCAGCGCAUCCAGAUGAUAGGAUUUCUGCUGCACAAGAGGCAGUCCUUCGUAUGCAGAGCAGGGUUGUGAGUCCUGUUCCUGAUAGUCCUGAUAAAGUUCUAUCCUCCAGACUCCUUGUCCCCUCGAAUCAUAUUGGUUGUCUUCUUGGCAAGGGUGGCGCCAUAAUAGCAGAAAUGAGGAAACUAUCUGGAGCUCACAUUCGUAUAUUGGGGAAGGAUCGGAUUCCAAAAUGUGCCUCAGAUAAUGAAGAAGUCGUUCAGGUAAUCGGGGAAUUUGAGGCAGUUCAAGAAGCUAUGUUGCAGAUAACUUUGAGGUUGCGGCAACAUCUCUUCCGUGAUAAGUUUCCCGCGAUGAACCAUCUACCACAUCUUGAUUUUCCUGAUCAAUUACCGCCUCCAUUUGCACCAUACAUGGGAAGGCGGGAUCCGUCGCCCCCUCGAAUAUAUCCUGGUUUAGGCCCGUCAUUUCACAAGUUUGAUGUUGUCGGAGGCUUCCCUCCCCGUGAUGAACGAUCUGCUUUUGCGCACGGUAUUCACAAACCUGGCUUCCCCCCUCAUAGUUCUGAAAGAAUGCCAUCUUCAGCACCAUGGGCACCUCAGGGCAUAAGUGAUGGUGGUGGUCCAAUUGGAGUUCCUGAUUAUGCAGGAGGUCCUCAGAGAAGAAUUGGUGGAUUUGGAGGCAGAAGCCAGUCAGCUGUUAUCACGAGCACAACUGUAGAAGUUGUUGUUCCCCGAUCUGUUGUUCCUUCUAUAUAUGGAGAGGAUGGAGGCUGUUUAAAACAGAUCCGCCAGAUUUCUGGUGCAAAAAUUACCAUCAAUGAACCCAGACCUGGAGCAACAGAGACUGCGAUUACAAUAUCUGGAACACCUGAGCAGACGCAUGCUGCACAGAGUCUUCUUCAAGCAUUUGUACUGAGUGAGCAGGGCACUCCUUGACUUGUUGCAUUGGACUGAUUUUCAUCGGGAUCCUCGAAUGGUAUGAUCUUCAAUUGAAUAGGCUUGAUCCUCAAUUAGAUGGGUCUGAUCGUCAAUCGUCCAGCAAUGGAAUCAUGGGAUCUGCCUUUGGAUCUCCUAUGGGUGAUUGGAUGGCGUGCAUGCAUCAACCUGUCAACAUUUUAUCAGUGUGACCUAAGACGCAUGCUGUUCCCACUUGGAAGUGGUGUUGGGCAACACGAGUGCUUUAUUUAUGUCAGCAAGUAAGAAAAGUGUGUUCUCCUAAUAUUUUUGGUGCUACUCUAGUCUAGGAGGCAUAUUUUUAAUCUGGGAGAAGCCAAGCUUCCUAUGGUGCUGUUUGCUGCCCUCAAAAGGUGUAUUCUGCCAGGUUGCAUUCACAUCCCAUGACUUUCAAUCUGUUAACCAAUUCCGAAUUGCCGUUUUUUCACUUCCCAUGUUGGGAUUCGAACAGUUAAUGUCACAAUUUCUCAAUCCACUUGCAACUUUUUGGAGCAUGCUACUUUUUGGAGCAUGUUGGGAUUGUGUCAGUUGCAUGAAGUGGCUGGGCUGUCCUCUCUUUCAGAAUGGGCUGACCGCCAGAUUGCAGAUGGUUUUGUAGCAGUGGCCAUUACGCGUGCGAGCUUGCUGACAGCAGACUGGACAACCCAUCAUUGGACACUAGCAAUUGAUGCAAGCUAGGUUCAUCUGUAUGCUUGUGAUAGUCGUAACUAAGAGCUCAAAACUCUGAAUUGAAGUGAUGAUAUAUGCUUAUCUCGUUUUAAGUUUCUAUCCAUAUGAGUCUUUGUAAAUCCAUACAGUUCUGGUUCUUCCAUUUCUUGUUCCAAACCAUUCUUUCAAUUCUUCUCCUUUUCUUCUA